This 3041-nucleotide long non-coding RNA is filed under the name Ursus maritimus (polar bear). RNAcentral's name for it is "lncRNA (ENSUMAG00000002521.1)". The record is from RNAcentral. Lineage: Eukaryota; Metazoa; Chordata; Mammalia; Carnivora; Ursidae.
UUUCCAUAUGAAUUCAUGGUAAAAAUUAAUUAAUUAAUGGAUUAUUUAUAAUCGUUUCUUCACUUUACGUCAUUUUUCCUUACAAAAACUUUCAUAGGAACACUCUGCUUUCGGAUAGCGGGGGAAAUAUGUAUCUGCUUUUUUCAGUGAAGAGUUCUUUGAUCCGUGUGGUGACAGUAUAUCCAGUGAGCUGUGAGGCUAGCACUGACACCUCAGGGAUGAUCAGUCUUCCGUUAGGUGGUGAGAAACAUAAGUGCGUAGCCACAUUGCUUUGGGAAAAGUGACCUGCGAAAGCAAAAUGCACAUGCCUGGGACCCGUCUCACCGAGGGACAGGAAACUCCAGCUGGGGCCAGCUGUACCGAUAGCCUGACCAGGCUGGAAAGGAGACACUAGAUCAAUCUCCCGGCAGAACAGAGACGCAGUGCACGGGAGAUGAUGGGGCAAGGCUAGCCGCGGCCACCUGCAUAUGCAGAUUUGAAUGCCAGCUCCUCGCUUUUGCUAGCCGUGUGACCUUGGCAGGAAAAUUCCACCUAAGAAGCAGACCAGUUGAUCUUGCACCUGUGAUCCCGUGUCUGGCACUUAUCUGGGUCAAGUCCAGGAGAGCAGCCCCCAGGCCCUGGAAACAGACAACCCACCCUGUCGCUGGGACACACUGUACAUACAGCGGUUCUUAUCACCAGACAUUCUUGUCCAGCAUCCGUCUGGGAGCAUAUUCCAUGCCAUUUAGGCAGCAUACCAGACUGACGAAAUUACCCAGGCUGGGCAAUUACCCAAAGUGUCCUUCCCUUCAUACAUCCCUCUCUCCAUCCCAGAUCCAUAAGACACCUCCACUAGUGCCCAUGCAAAUGUAUCUACUGUGUUUUGCUUUCAAGAGCAUCUAAGAAAGCAGCCUGUGGGUUCAGACCACCCAGGCUCAGCUCUUACUGAUAGUUUCCUAGGCUCGUGCCCGGGGACCAAUAACAUAACCUCUCUGUGCCUCAGUUUACUCAUCUGUAAUUUGAAUAUACUAGCAACACCUACCUCUUGGGGUUCUUGGGGAGAUUAAAUGAGAUAAAGCACAUUGCCUGGCACACAGGAAGGUUGGAGAAAAAGGUGAACCAUGGCUCGAUGUCAUCUGGUGGGAAUUGUAGCCUCUUCUCUGGCCAGCCCACCGCUCCAGGAGAGUCCUGACUUCAGAGCUGCAUGUGCCAUGCCGAGGCUGUCUCGGGGAGGAUUCCGUACCCCUGAUGCCCAGUGUGGGUCCUAUGCUCUCCACUAAGCAUGCCCAAAUGUGGCACACGUGGGCUGUUGGUGGCCCCAGCCUGCCUCAUUGUGGGCCUGUGUUCUAGGGCUAUUAUUUGUGGCCAUUUUUCAUAGAGGAAGUUGCUACCAUUAAAUGCCUUGAUGACAGAAACACGUAGAAAAGCACAGUGUUUUUAGAUUAAUUCAUAGAUUAAUUCUUAACCUUUAAGUUACAUCUCUUGAUCUCGGAGCCUCACAUUGCGAAUUUUAAUUAUCUUUGUUCUAUAAUGUCCAUGCUGGUCACUUCCUGUGUAAUACAGGGCAACUGAGGUAUGAAUGACAUCUUUCAAAAAGCACCUGCAAUUCUUUUUUGCCAAGCUUUUAUAGAUUCUUCUCAUUACUUUCAAAAACCCAUUGAAAUAUUGUUAUGUGUAUUUUGCAAAUGAGGAAAUUAAUAUUCAAAUGCAUUAAGUAUCUUAUCCAAGGUCUCACAGCCAGAAAGUAGAGAAAUAGGAUUUGAACUAAGCUCUCUUACUGCACAGCUCCUGCUCUUUCCCAGGCACUGGGGAAUGAAUGCCUGAAAAAGCCCCCUUUCGUAUGUUUCAAGUGUUUACCAAACGUCUGUUAUCUACUAGGAUCUUGAACUCGCUCCGUAAGAUCGCCCGAAGCCUGCUCAUCACUUGUCUGUUGACCUUCACCACUGUCUGUGGGACUUUACUCUCUUUUGGUAAAAUACUCUUUUAUUAAAAAUAAUUAUUUGACUAUAAAUGGAUAAAUCCUAACAUCAGUAUGCAAUGUCUGACAUCAUGCAAAAUGUCUUCAUGUCAAACAUAAACGAUGGUCAAACUAACUAGGUAAAGCAUCGUUAUAAAUUGACUAGCCAUGUUUCAAAUGGCUACUUCCUAGAGUUGAAAUUUAUAUUGACUAUCAGGGAACUCCUCCAGGUAGUAUUUGGGAUCUGUGGGCUGGCAGGUGGCUGUUACUACCCAACCUGUCAACAUUAGUUGAAAUACAAUAUUCUUCACUUUUCUUAUAUGAACUGUAUGAGUACAUUUUCAGACUAAAUUCAGUUCGUUAUUUUUUCAAUUCUUUCAUAGAGUUAAUAAUAUUCUUUAACACUUUGCCUCCCACCAAUGAAUAACUUUAUUGUGAUUGCUAGUUCUUUUUUCUCUAUCAUCCUAUCAGAGGAGUUAUAAGUGAAAAUCAACAAGACUGGCCAAGAAUAACAAAAGAGAUAGAUUUGACUGGGAGAGUGGAGGAAAAAAUUCAAUGCCACUCAAAAAACUGUAUAUUUAUUGAACACUAGUUAUGUGCCCUCUUGGAAAUUAAAAAGUAAUGUAUGUUCUCCUUCUGGGUCUGCAACAUUUAGGAUCUAGUCGAGGGACCUGGAUUUAGACAUAAAAUACAAUCAAACAACACUCCGUGUUAGAAUCUCCAUGAGCCAAAGCCUUUGGCACAGACACUUAGUAAUAUGAGAAGUCAGGAAAAGGAGAAAUUUCUGUGGGUUAGUGCGGGUUGGGAACAUGAGAUGGGGAACUGACGUAUGACUGGAGAAAGGGUGAGAUUCAGAGAAAUGAACUGGAGAGGAGAGAGAGAAAGAGGGAGAGGAAAAGAGAGAAAGACAUGAGGAAAAACACGUUGCCCGGAGGAAGAAGAGAAGCAGGUCAUCAGUGGGUUUUCUCUAGGGAAGACAAUGACAAUUCUUAACAGGCCACGUUAAACACAAUGCCCUCUGCCCUCACUGGGAGGCUCAGAAAUUCAAGUUUGGGAGUUCAGGUUUAUAUGAAAAUAAAUACGUUUACCGAAAAAAAAAUAGCCA